RNAcentral lists this long non-coding RNA (396 nucleotides) under Ananas comosus (pineapple). RNAcentral's name for it is "long non-coding RNA (ACOM_LNC006285)". The record is from RNAcentral. Lineage: Eukaryota; Viridiplantae; Streptophyta; Magnoliopsida; Poales; Bromeliaceae.
UUUUAUUAAUUUUUUUAUCUUCUAUGGUAUUAGUUUACUGCAAUGCGUAAAUUAUUCUUUUAAGGCCCAGUUUGGAUUGGGGAUAAGGAAUGGAAUAACCACUUAUCCCCCUUUAUACCCAAACGUUAAUUUUUUAUCUGAAAAUAGUAAUUUUCAGGUAUCUAAAAUAAGCUGAUAUAACUAUCCCCACCAACACUUCUAUUUUUCUAUAUAUAACUACCAAUUAUUUUUUUUAUUCCAUAUUAUCUAUCCAAACGCAAUUUUUUUUUUAUCCCGGAAAACAAGCCAAUUUUCAUCCAAACGUUAUUUUUUUUAUCCCCAUAUUUAUACUUAUUUAUGUAAUAACUAGUUCUUACUUAUAUCCGAACCAAACGGUAGCUUACGGUCAAUAAUAUA